Molecule: ribosomal RNA, 481 nt
Filed under: uncultured bacterium
Lineage: Bacteria
Description: bacterial SSU rRNA
Rfam family: Bacterial small subunit ribosomal RNA
Source: RNAcentral
AGCGAACGCUGGCGGCAUGCCUAACACAUGCAAGUCGAGCGCUCCCAGCAAUGGGGGAGCGGCGGACGGGUGAGUAACGCGUAGGAACGUAUCCUGAGGUGGGGGAUAACCCUGGGAAACUAGGGCUAAUACCGCAUGAUGGCGAGAGCCCAAAGAUUUAUCGCCUUGGGAGCGGCCUGCGUCUGAUUAGCUUGUUGGUGGGGUAACGGCCUACCAAGGCGAUGAUCAGUAGCUGGUCUGAGAGGAUGAUCAGCCACACUGGGACUGAGACACGGCCCAGACUCCUACGGGAGGCAGCAGUGGGGAAUAUUGGACAAUGGGCGAAAGCCUGAUCCAGCCAUUCCGCGUGCAGGAUGAAGGCCCUCGGGUUGUAAACUGCUUUUGUACAGAACGAAAAGCUCUGGCUAAUACCUGGAGUCCAUGACGGUACUGUAAGAAUAAGCACCGGCUAACUACGUGCCAGCAGCCGCGGUAAUGCACG